AUGUGGUUUAUGUUGUUCUCUUGCGCAAGCUGGCUAGCAGCAGACGAUGACGACAUCGGCCAAAGAAUAUUUUGUCCAGUGAUGAUGUUUUUCGUUGUGUAUGUUGGAGAGGUUCGCUCCUCCGUGCAUGUCCUUUUUCUUAUGUCGUUCGCUUAUUUCACAAGUGCAGUUUUACUAUUCGCUUUCAUGCCGACCAGAUUACUGGAUUUUUGCAAAAAAGAUGAGAGAACAUCAAAAGACACGUGUAUAUAUAGUAUUGAUUUUUUCCUGUUCAUUGUGAAGACGCUUAUUGUUCACAUUGUAAAAAACCCAAAGAAGGCGGUUCAUUCCAUUUGGGAUGAAGCUCGGUUGUGA
RNAcentral lists this ribosomal RNA (354 nucleotides) under Triticum aestivum (bread wheat). Its description in RNAcentral is "partial small subunit ribosomal RNA". The record is from RNAcentral. Lineage: Eukaryota; Viridiplantae; Streptophyta; Magnoliopsida; Poales; Poaceae.